RNAcentral lists this ribosomal RNA (776 nucleotides) under uncultured Neocallimastigales. RNAcentral's name for it is "partial large subunit ribosomal RNA". It matches the Rfam family "Eukaryotic large subunit ribosomal RNA", at positions 19 to 621 of the family's 3401-position model. Lineage: Eukaryota; Fungi; Neocallimastigomycota; Neocallimastigomycetes; Neocallimastigales. The record is from RNAcentral.
CGAGCACGCGCGUGUGGCAUAUCAAUAAGCGGAGGAAAAGAAACUAACAAGGAUUCCCUUAGUAACGGCGAGUGAAGCGGGAAGAGCUCAAAUUUGAAAUCUUCAAGGUUUCUACCUUGACGAAUUGUAGUUUAUAAGAAGUGUUUUCUGUUAGUGGAGUGGCAAAAGUUCUUUGGAAUAGGACAUCAUAGAGGGUGAGAAUCCCGUAUUUGGUCAUUCCUCCUAGCGUUGUGAUACACUUUCAACGAGUCGGAUUGUUUGGGAAUGCAGUCCAAAAUGGGUGGUAAAUUUCAUCUAAAGCUAAAUAUUGGCGAGAGACCGAUAGCGAACAAGUACCGUGAGGGAAAGAUGAAAAGAACUUUGAAAAGAGAGUUAAACAGUACGUGAAAUUGUCAAAAGGGAAGCGUUUGACACCAGUGUUGUUUUUCCGAAAAUCAAUUACGAAUGUUUUGUUUUUAAGGAGUUAUGACUUCAUCGGCUUGCUUCUUUCUUUACGAAACUUUCUUAAUGCACUUUUCGGUUAACAAGUCAACAUCAAUUUCUUUUGUUGUAAAAGGGUAUGAGGAAGGUGGCUUUCUUUUCGGAGAAAGUGUUUAUAGCCUUGUGCCUCUGCAAUCGGAGAGAUUGAGGUCUGCAGCGUAGAUCCUUCGGGGUUAGAUACGUUUGUGCUAAGUUAUAGCUUUUCAUAGACAACUUGUUGACUAUGUUUAGUCUUGUAGCUUACUCGCUGACGCUAUUUUACCUACGCUUAGGAUGUUGAACUCUAUCACACACAG